RNAcentral lists this ribosomal RNA (504 nucleotides) under uncultured bacterium. Its description in RNAcentral is "partial 16S ribosomal RNA". It matches the Rfam family "Bacterial small subunit ribosomal RNA", at positions 899 to 1397 of the family's 1533-position model. The record is from RNAcentral.
ACUCAAAGGAAUUGACGGGGGCUCACACAAGCGGUGGAGGAUGUGGUUUAAUUCGAAGCAACGCGAAGAACCUUACCAGGUCUUGACAUUCCGGGAUUAACUGCGUGAAAGCGCGGGGAUUGCCCUCAAAGCGUAACCGGAACAGGUGCUGCAUGGCUGUCGUCAGCUCGUGCCGUGAGGUGUUAGGUUAAGUCCUUUAACGAGCGAAACCCCUACGACUAGUUACCAGCGGGUAAUGCCGGGGACUCUAGUCGGACUGCCGCGAAAGUAGGAGGAAGGUGGGGACGACGUCAAGUCAUCAUGGCCUUUAUGAUCUGGGCUACACACGUCCUACAAUGGGUGGUACAAAGGGCUGCGAAGUCGCGAGACGGAGCCAAUCCUAUAAAGCCACCCUCAGUUCAGAUUGUGGGCUGCAAUUCGCCCACAUGAAGCUGGAAUCGCUAGUAAUCGCGGAUCAGCUACGCCGCGGUGAAUAUGUUCCUGAGCCUUGUACACACCGCCCGU